Long non-coding RNA from Lutra lutra (Eurasian river otter), 1569 nucleotides. RefSeq lists it as uncharacterized. The record is from RefSeq and is a predicted model, not a curated record. NCBI's taxonomy places the organism in Eukaryota, Metazoa, Chordata, Mammalia, Carnivora, Mustelidae. The transcript has 2 exons.
AAUAUCCUGAGAGAGACACAGAGACAAGCUAUCACUCAGUGAGGUCAGAAAUCAUCCCUGCAGAGCCCGCCACAGCAGAAGAGCAAAGGAGGAUUUUGCUGCUCUUCUUUGGGGUCAGUGAUUUAUCCGAGGACUUCAUGGGAGAAAUCAAGACUUUCAUUUUCUUCCUUUUUUUUUGUUUUUUGUUUUUGUUUCUAACUUUAAGCUGCUGGAACCAAAAAUAUCGUCCACAACAGACUGGAUAUUGAAACAAGAACUUUAAAGAUGCUCACCACACCCUAUUUGGGAAGCACUCUCCUAGCGUGCUGCAGUCUGGAGAUACCAGCCCAGGCAGAGGAAGAAGGCAGGCCGGCCGCUGACACGCUGCCUGGGCACCCAGCUCCCGGGGCUCCAAGGUGGGUUCCUGCCUCUGAAACACUGGUUAGGAAGCUGCCUCAGGAGCCCAGGACGGAGGCUUCAGACCUCUAGGCAGGCCUGGCCCCAUCUUCCUAAAGCCUGGUUCAUCCUCAGCUCAAAGUAAGAUCCAUGUCCUUAAUUGUCAGAGACCACCCCUUUAAACUUUCUUUGCAUUUCUUACAGAAUCUAGCCAUAGGCUCCAUCUUUAGGGCCAGGAUUCCCUACAAGCCCAAGGACUGGGGUCAUUUGGCCAACUUCUCAAUCUGGUUGAGACUGAGUCACCCUCUCAUCUCAAAUCCUUUCACGGACUUGAUAGAAAGGACUUGCAAAGUCUAAUAGUGUUACUAUCACUUUAAAAAAGACAAAAAAGUAAUUCUUUACAUAAACAGUUCACAGUAAAAGAGAAUAUAAAUGGCUCUUAAUCAUAUAACAAUGAUCCUUAACUUCAGCCCCCCAAAAGAGGAAUAACAUAAAAUAAAAUUACUGUAAGAUACCAUUUUUUAGUUAUCAGAUUAACCACAAUGAAAAGGUUCCUAAUACACUGUGUUGGUGAGAAUGUUGGGAAAUGAGCACUUUCAUUUUUAAUUUUUCUCCUACUAGAGAGAGUGAACACUGGAACUCUCUCUUUGGAACAAUAAAUUCUUAUAACCUCAGGCCUCUGGGAUGAUGAGGGGAUGUUGGGUGGGAGGGAGUCACUUGCCUCUGGCCAUGUGAAGCCAUUGUGACCUUUCCCCUCAAUGUAUAUCUUGGGAAUUAAUAAAUGUCUUUACCAUUUAAACCAAAUGGCGGGACUCCUGGUGGCUCUGUCAGUUUAGUGGCCAACUCUUGGUUUUGGCUCAGGUCAUGAUCUCAGGGUCCUGGCAUCCAGCCCAGCAUCAGACUUCAUCCUCAGUGGGGAGUCUGCUUCAGGAUUCUCUCUCCCUCUGCCCUUCCCCCACUACUCUCUCUCACUGAAAUAAAGAAACCUUUUUAAAAAAGUAAUAAAUCAAAUGGAGUUGGUCUUCUGUUACAGCCUGAAGGACCUUAAGUGAUAUCUGAGCACAUUACCUCAUUUUUAUUUCCUUGAUCAGUAAGCUGAAAGGGGUAGGGCACAUGUAACUGUGUGUGUGUGUGUGUGUGUGUGUGUGUGUGUGUGUGUGGUAUGUGUGUUUUUAAAAACCUCUAAUCUCCUUG